Mus musculus (house mouse) is the source of this 2633-nucleotide RNA transcript. It is a transcript of the gene named eukaryotic translation initiation factor 2B, subunit 5 epsilon, with no coding region annotated. Lineage: Eukaryota; Metazoa; Chordata; Mammalia; Rodentia; Muridae. The record is from RefSeq and is marked validated. The transcript has 16 exons.
UGCGCAUUCCUUCCUCUUUCUCUCCCUGCAACUACACCUUCGCGUUUUGACUGUGAGUCCUUUUUGUCCCCUACUGCGUGCCGUGUGACUUCCCGGCGGACGUGCUGGCUGCGAAGCAAGAUGGCAGCCACUGCGGCGGUGCCUGGCGCUGCGGCCGGCCGAGCGAGCAAACGCGGCGGCGGCGGCUCGGGCGGCGGGGGAACCCAAGGUGCGGAGGAGGAGCCGCCGCCGCCCCUCCAGGCAGUUCUAGUGGCCGAUAGCUUCAACCGCCGCUUCUUCCCCAUCUCCAAGGACCAGCCUCGGGUCCUCUUGCCCCUGGCCAACGUUGCGCUAAUUGACUAUACUCUGGAGUUCCUGACUGCCACGGGUGUACAGGAAACAUUUGUCUUUUGCUGCUGGAAAGCUGCUCAGAUCAAAGAACACUUACAGAAAUCCAAGUGGUGCCAUCCUACGUCCCCCAACGUUGUUCGGAUAAUCACAUCAGAGCUAUACCGAUCACUAGGAGACGUCCUCCGUGACGUCGAUGCCAAGGCCUUGGUGCGCUCUGACUUUCUCUUGAUAUAUGGAGAUGUCAUCUCAAAUAUCAAUAUCUGCAGAGCCCUGGAGGAACACAGGUUAAGAAGGAAGCUAGAAAAAAAUGUCUCUGUGAUGACAAUGGUCUUCAAAGAGUCGUCACCCAGCCACCCUACACGCUGCCAUGAGGACAACGUGGUGAUGGCUGUGGACAGCGCCACCAACAGGGUUCUUCACUUCCAGAAGACCCAAGGCCUCCGGCGCUUUUCCUUUCCAUUGAGCCUGUUCCAGGGCAGUGGAGACGGAGUGGAGAUUCGAUAUGAUUUGUUGGACUGUCACAUCAGCAUCUGCUCUCCUCAGGUAGCUCAGCUCUUCACAGACAAUUUUGACUACCAAACUCGAGAUGAUUUUGUACGAGGCAUAUUAAUGAAUGAGGAGGUCCUAGGAAACCAGAUUCACUUGCAUGUGACAACUAGGGAAUAUGGUGCCCGGGUCUCCAACCUACACAUGUACUCAGCUGUUUGUGCUGACGUCAUCCGCCGAUGGGUCUACCCUCUCACUCCAGAAGUAAACUUCACUGACAGCACCACCCAGAGCUACACUCAUUCCCGACACAACAUCUACCGAGGGCCUGAAGUCAGCCUGGGCCAUGGCAGCGUCCUGGAGGAAAAUGUGCUUUUGGGAGCUGGCACUGUCAUCGGCAGCAACUGCUCCAUCACCAACAGUGUCAUCGGCCCUAACUGCCAUAUUGGACUCUUUCGGAUGUGGGACCCUGAGUGACCGGAAGUCCUCCUCAUUCUGAGCCAGGUGAUAAUGUGGUACUGGACCAGGCCUACCUGUGGCAGGGAGUUCGAGUGGCUGCUGGAGCACAAAUACACCAAUCUCUGCUCUGUGACAGAGCUGAGGUCAAGGAGCGAGUCAAACUGAAGCCAUACUGUGUUCUCACUUCCCAGGUGGUAGUGGGCCCAGACAUCACGCUGCCGGAGGGCUCGGUGAUCUCUUUGCAUCCUCCAGAUGCAGAGGAAGAUGAAGAUGAUGGCCAGUUUAGUGAUGAUUCUGGAGCUGACCAAGAAAAGGAGAAAGUGAAGCUGAAAGGUUACAAUCCAGCAGAAGUUGGCCUUGAAGGCCAGGGAUACCUCUGGAAAGCUGAGGGUGUGAACUCGAAAGAAGAUGAGGAGCUACGGCAGAGUCUCUGGGGACUCAUGAUCAAGACGGAGGAGGAAAGUGAGACUGAAAGUGAGGGAAGUGUGGAUCCUGAGGAGCUGGACAGCCGAGCAGGCUCCCCUCAGCUGGAUGACAUCAGAGUUUUCCAGAACGAGGUCCUGGGAACGCUGCAGCGGGGCAGAGAGGAGAACAUCUCCUGUGAAAAUCUAGUCCUGGAGAUCAACUCUCUCAAGCAUGCCUACAACAUUAGCCUAAAGGAAGUGAUGCAGGUCCUGACCCUUGUAGUCCUGGAGUUCCCCCUGCAACAAGUCGAUGGCCUGCUUGACCCAAACCGCUACUGUGCCUUGCUGCUUCCUCUGCUCAAAGCCUGGAGCCCUGUUUUAAGGAACUACAUAAAGCGUGCAGCUGACCACUUGGAAGCAUUGGCAGCCAUUGAGGACUUCUUCUUGGAACAUGAAACUCUCGUUACUUCCAUGGCCAAGGUCCUGAUGGCUUUCUACCAGCUGGAGAUCUUGGCUGAGGAAACAAUCUUGAGCUGGUUCAGCCAAAGAGACACAACUGACGAAGGCCAGCAGUUACGGAAGAAUCAACAGCUGCAGAGGUUCAUCCAGUGGCUGAGAGAGGCAGAAGAAGAGUCAUCCGAAGAUGACUGAUGGUGACUGCCAGAUCCGUGCAUCUCAUUGGCUGUCCUCGUAACAAGAGAGCUGACAGAAAGCUAGCUACAGAAGCAUGAGUGGCCACGGCAGACUGAGAAUUAUUGGAACGGAAGUUGCAACUACAGUAUUCUUCCUACUGCUGGCAGCCAUGUGCUGCUCGUCCUGACUGAAGUUAGGAUGAGGGAAGUUAGACUGCGUUAGGGGAACUCUAGACAGACCCUGCAGUUGGGGGUGGGCCAGAGUAAGUACUUUGUGUUCCAGCUUUCCCUUGGGGAACAGUAAAGAGCAGCUGGUCCUCUC